Molecule: ribosomal RNA, 884 nt
Filed under: uncultured Bacteroidota bacterium
Lineage: Bacteria; Pseudomonadati; Bacteroidota
Description: bacterial SSU rRNA
Rfam family: Bacterial small subunit ribosomal RNA
Source: RNAcentral
CAGGCUUAACACAUGCAAGUCGAGGGGAAACGAUAGAGAAAGCUUGCUUUUUCUAGGCGUCGACCGGCGCACGGGUGAGUAACGCGUAUCCAACCUGCCCACCACUUGGGGAUAACCUUGCGAAAGUAAGACUAAUACCCAAUGAUAUCUCUAGAAGACAUCUGAAGGAGAUUAAAGAUUCAUCGGUGAUGGAUGGGGAUGCGUCUGAUUAGCUUGUUGGCGGGGUAACGGCCCACCAAGGCUACGAUCAGUAGGGGUUCUGAGAGGAAGGUCCCCCACAUUGGAACUGAGACACGGCCCAAACUCCUACGGGAGGCAGCAGUGAGGAAUAUUGGUCAAUGGGCGAGAGCCUGAACCAGCCAAGUAGCGUGCAGGAUGACGGCCCUAUGGGUUGUAAACUGCUUUUAUAAGGGAAUAAAGUGAGCCUCGUGAGGCUUUUUGCAUGUACCUUAUGAAUAAGGACCGGCUAAUUCCGUGCCAGCAGCCGCGGUAAUACGGAAGGUCCGGGCGCUAUCCGGAUUUAUUGGGUUUAAAGGGAGCGUAGGCCGGAGAUUAAGCGUAUUGUGAAAUGUAGAUGCUCAACAUCUGCACUGCAGCGCGAGCUGGUUUCCUUGAGUACGCACAAAGUGGGCGGAAUUCGUGGUGUAGCGGUGAAAUGCUUAGAUAUCACGAAGAACUCCGAUCGCGAAGGCAGCUCACUGGAGCGCAACUGACGCUGAAGCUCGAAAGUGCGGGUAUCGAACAGGAUUAGAUACCCUGGUAGUCCGCACGGUAAACGAUGGAUGCCCGCCGUUGGUCUGAAUAGGUCAGCGGCCAAGCGAAAGCAUUAAGCAUCCCACCUGGGGAGUACGCCGGCAACGGUGCAACUCAAAUGAGUUGACGGA